CACAAAAACAUCAUUGCGGAAGUUGAAACAGCGAUCAAAGAUCUACCAGACGAAACUAAAGACAUUAUACGGACAAAUACAGCUUCCAUCUUAGACCGAGCACGCAUCCCUCCGCACAAAAACAUAAACAUCAACGAAAGAAAAGCGCUGAAAGAUUUGAAACAGGACACGACAAGAAUUAUCAUGAAAGCAGACAAAGGUAACAGUUUAGUUAUCAUGGAUCGAGACGA
Non-coding RNA from Paramuricea clavata, 230 nucleotides. The record is from the annotation of a GenBank genome assembly. NCBI's taxonomy places the organism in Eukaryota, Metazoa, Cnidaria, Anthozoa, Malacalcyonacea, Plexauridae.